Molecule: ribosomal RNA, 564 nt
Filed under: uncultured Glomeromycotina
Lineage: Eukaryota; Fungi; Glomeromycota
Description: SSU rRNA
Rfam family: Eukaryotic small subunit ribosomal RNA
Source: RNAcentral
UUGGAGGGCAAGUCUGGUGCCAGCAGCCGCGGUAAUUCCAGCUCCAAUAGCGUAUAUUAAAGUUGUUGCAGUUAAAAAGCUCGUAGUUGAAUUUCGGGAUCAGAGUGUCGGUCGUGCCUCGGUACGCACUGGUAUUAUUGGUUCCUACCUUCUGAAGAACCGCGAUGUCAUUAAUUUGGUGUCGUGGGGAAUCAGGACUGUUACUUUGAAAAAAUUAGAGUGUUUAAAGCAGGCUUACGCUUGAAUACAUUAGCAUGGAAUAAUGAAAUAGGACGUUCGAUCUUAUUUUGUUGGUUUCUAGGAUUGACGUAAUGAUUAAUAGGGAUAGUUGGGGGCAUUAGUAUUCAAUUGUCAGAGGUGAAAUUCUUGGAUUUAUUGAAGACUAACUACUGCGAAAGCAUUUGCCAAGGAUGUUUUCAUUAAUCAAGAACGAAAGUUAGGGGAUCGAAGGCGAUCAGAUACCGUCGUAGUCUUAACCAUAAACUAUGCCGACUAGGGAACGGAUGAUGUUAAUUUUUUAAUGACUCAUUCGGCGCCUUACGGGAAACCAAAGUGUUUGGGUUC